Molecule: long non-coding RNA, 235 nt
Filed under: Setaria italica (foxtail millet)
Lineage: Eukaryota; Viridiplantae; Streptophyta; Magnoliopsida; Poales; Poaceae
Description: long non-coding RNA (SITA_LNC002157)
Source: RNAcentral
CACUUAUGAAUUUUCCUAAUUGGUAUUUUGUUUUCACUUGUUAAUGGUUUAAAUCUUGUGCAGGAAAUAAGAUGUUAUUUGCAUGCUCAGGCAUACCUCUACCUAACAAGAUUUGCGGGAACUCUAAACUUCACCUAACAAGAUUUGUGACUUCAGCACGUUUGGUUGAAGAAUUCAACAGAAAUAGAAAUAAAGAUGAUCAAUUGAGGGUUCGUUCUACUUAUCACCGUGUCCA